RNAcentral lists this ribosomal RNA (407 nucleotides) under uncultured bacterium. Its description in RNAcentral is "partial 16S ribosomal RNA". It matches the Rfam family "Bacterial small subunit ribosomal RNA", at positions 30 to 526 of the family's 1533-position model. The record is from RNAcentral.
AUUGAACGCUGGCGGCAGGCCUAACACAUGCAAGUCGAGCGGAGCGGCGGACGGGUGAGUAAUGCCUAGGUAUCUGCCUGGUAGUGGGGGAUAAAGAUCGGAAAUGGGCGCUAAUACCGCAUACUUUCAGUUGAGGCUAGGUCGGAUUAGCUAGUGGGUGGGGUAAAGGCCUACCAAGGCGACGAUCCGUAACUGGUCUGAGAGGAUGAUCAGUCACACUGGAACUGAGACACGGUCCAGACUCCUACGGGAGGCAGCAGUGGGGAAUAUUGGACAAUGGGCGAAAGCCUGAUCCAGCCAUGCCGCGUGUGUGAAGAAGGUCUUCGGGUUGUAAAGCACUUUAAGUUGGGAGGCGUUACCAACAGAAGAAGCACCGGCUAACUUCGUGCCAGCAGCCGCGGUAAUAC